RNAcentral lists this ribosomal RNA (481 nucleotides) under uncultured bacterium. Its description in RNAcentral is "partial 16S ribosomal RNA". It matches the Rfam family "Bacterial small subunit ribosomal RNA", at positions 28 to 523 of the family's 1533-position model. The record is from RNAcentral.
GACGAACGCUGGCGGCGUGCUUAACACAUGCAAGUCGAACGAUGAUCCGGUUUCGGCCGGGGAUUAGUGGCGAACGGGUGAGUAACACGUGGGCAAUCUGCCUUGCAAUCUGGGACAAGCCCUGGAAACAGGGUCUAAUACCGGAUACGAACCCCAACCGCAUGGUGGGUGGUGGAAAGCGUUUAGUGGUGCAGGAUGAGCCCGCGGCCUAUCAGCUUGGUGGUGGGGUGAUGGCCUACCAAGGCGACGACGGGUAGCCGGCCUGAGAGGGCGACCGGCCACACUGGGACUGAGACACGGCCCAGACUCCUACGGGAGGCAGCAGUGGGGAAUAUUGCACAAUGGGCGGAAGCCUGAUGCAGCGACGCCGCGUGAGGGAUGACGGCCUUCGGGUUGUAAACCUCUUUCAGCAGGGAAGAAGCGAGAGUGACGGUACCUGCAGAAGAAGCACCGGCUAACUACGUGCCAGCAGCCGCGGUAA